RNAcentral lists this ribosomal RNA (253 nucleotides) under uncultured bacterium. RNAcentral describes it as "partial 16S ribosomal RNA". It matches the Rfam family "Bacterial small subunit ribosomal RNA", at positions 524 to 776 of the family's 1533-position model. The record is from RNAcentral.
UACGAAGGGGGCUAGCGUUGCUCGGAAUCACUGGGCGUAAAGGGUGCGUAGGCGGGUCUUUAAGUCCGGGGUGAAAUCCUGGAGCUCAACUCCAGAACUGCCUUUGAUACUGAAGAUCUUGAGUUCGGGAGAGGUGAGUGGAACUGCGAGUGUAGAGGUGAAAUUCGUAGAUAUUCGCAAGAACACCAGUGGCGAAGGCGGCUUACUGGUCCGGUUCUGACGCUGAGGCGCGAAAGCGUGGGGAGCAAACAGG